Pantherophis guttatus is the source of this 761-nucleotide long non-coding RNA. RefSeq lists it as uncharacterized. The record is from RefSeq and is a predicted model, not a curated record. Lineage: Eukaryota; Metazoa; Chordata; Lepidosauria; Squamata; Colubridae.
UCGGGUUUCCGGCUCACGCAUGCAUGCACACACAUGCACACAUGUUCCGGUUUGGACAAUCGGUGCCAAAAAAGUUCACCAACACUGGUAUAGGCUCUUCUCUGGAGCAGGGGGUUGGACUAGAAGACCUUCAAGGUGCCUAAUAACUGUUAUUCUGUUGUAUACCAUUACAAUUUGCAAGCGAAGAAAAACCUAGCUUGCUUACAGGGUCAUCUCUCCCUGCUUGCAUCUAGAAUGUUCUCCCUCCAGAGAUCAGAUUGGCUCAAUCCUUGUUGGGCUUCCUUAAGGCCCUGAAGUCGUGGCUCUCCGAGCAGACCUGGGUCCCACGUGUGGGACAAAACCCAUUGCUCAGCUAUGUUGAAUGACAGAAGGACUGUUAUAGCAUCUCCAACGUCACGUGACCAAAAUUCAGAUGCUUGGCGAUUGACUCAUAUUGAUGAUGAUUGCAGUAUCCCCGGGUCUUGUGGUCUCCUUUUGUGACCUUCUGACAACCAAAAUCAAUGGGGAAACUCACUUAACAACUGUGGCAACAAAGCUUUUCCAGCUUGGCCAUAUCUGGACCUGAAAUUGGGAAGCAUCUGGUCAAACCUUACAGAAUGAUUCUCUCUAACCUUGAUGUCACGCACCUGGGAAAUCCAGAUAUUCAGUUGUCAUGGCCACUAUUUGCUGCUGUCAUCCCAGAGGGCCUUCUUCAGAGCAAGCCAGGUGCUGUGAAUCCAGAUCAACCGGUGAAGCAUCUAUGCAGCUCCCGUUGUAUUGCA